RNAcentral lists this ribosomal RNA (414 nucleotides) under uncultured bacterium. Its description in RNAcentral is "bacterial SSU rRNA". It matches the Rfam family "Bacterial small subunit ribosomal RNA", at positions 508 to 920 of the family's 1533-position model. The record is from RNAcentral.
ACAGCAGCCGCGGUAAUACGUAGGUGGCGAGCGUUGUCCGGAAUUACUGGGUGUAAAGGGCGUGUAGGCGGGAUUGUAAGUCAGAUGUGAAAUUCCGAGGCUCAACUUCGGAGCUGCAUCUGAAACUGUGAUUCUUGAGUGCUGGAGAGGAUAGUGGAAUUCCUAGUGUAGCGGUGAAAUGCGUAGAUAUUAGGAGGAACACCAGUGGCGAAGGCGGCUAUCUGGACAGUAACUGACGCUGAGGCGCGAAAGCGUGGGGAGCAAACAGGAUUAGAUACCCUGGUAGUCCACGCUGUAAACGAUGAAUACUAGGUGUAGGAGGUAUCGACCCCUUCUGUGCCGCAGUUAACACAAUAAGUAUUCCACCUGGGGAGUACGGCCGCAAGGUUGAAACUUAAAGGAAUUGGCGGGGGA